GACGAACGCUGGCGGCGGGCCUAACACAUGCAAGUCGAACGCUCCAGCAAUGGAGAGUGGCAGACGGGUGAGUAACGCGUGGGAACCUUCCCUAUGGUUCGGAAUAGCUCAGGGAAACUUGAGCUAAUACCGUAUACGUCCGUAAGGAGAAAGAUUCAUCGCCCCCUAGACGGGCCCGCGUCGGAUUAGGUAGUUGGUGGGGUAACGGCCUACCAAGCCUACGAUCCGUAGCUGAUCNGAGAGGAUGAUCAGCCACACUGGGACUGAGACACGGCCCAGACUCCUACGGGAGGCAGCAGUGGGGAAUCUUGCGCAAUGCGCGAAAGCGUGACGCAGCAACGCCGCGUGGGGAAGACGCU
RNAcentral lists this ribosomal RNA (359 nucleotides) under uncultured bacterium. RNAcentral's name for it is "bacterial SSU rRNA". It matches the Rfam family "Bacterial small subunit ribosomal RNA", at positions 28 to 415 of the family's 1533-position model. The record is from RNAcentral.